Molecule: long non-coding RNA, 355 nt
Filed under: Paramuricea clavata
Lineage: Eukaryota; Metazoa; Cnidaria; Anthozoa; Malacalcyonacea; Plexauridae
Source: RNAcentral
CGUUUCUGCUUUGAACUGAAACGUUUUGGCUUUCCAGCAGAACCGAAAGUAUUUUGAGAUUGUGGAUGAACUGCAACCGAAAGAUAUGCCUCCUUUAGGCCCAAUUUUGUCAUGUAGUACCCCUGUUGUAGGCAGGUUUUUAUCGAGGAAAGAUGUUCCAUCUGGAAAUGUUAUGUUUCUAUGUAUUGAUUCAGUGAGCUUAGAUCUAUAACCGAUCUCAUACCGCCGUCCUUCUUGGGGACUUGGCAAAGGGGACUUUGCAAAUUGCCCCCUUCGUUAACAGGUCUGACACCUCCUUUUACAUAAAUAAGUGUUUCUGACUCUGAACGGACCUGAGUCAUUUUUUUUUUUUGUU